RNAcentral lists this ribosomal RNA (1008 nucleotides) under uncultured organism. Its description in RNAcentral is "bacterial SSU rRNA". It matches the Rfam family "Bacterial small subunit ribosomal RNA", at positions 40 to 1064 of the family's 1533-position model. The record is from RNAcentral.
CGGCAUGGAUUAGGCAUGCAAGUCGAACGGUAACAGAGGUGCUUGCACCUGCUGACGAGUGGCGAAAGGGUGAGUAACCCGUGAGCAACCUGCCUCGAAGUCCGGGAUAGCCUUGGGAAACCGAGAUUAAUACCGGAUGUGGCUGUAUUUCCGCAUGGUUUACAGCUGAAGUUUUUUCGCUUCGAGAUGGGCUCGCGUUCCAUCAGCUAGUUGGUGAGGUAACGGCUCACCAAGGCAGCGACGGAUAGGUGGUCUGAGAGGAUGGUCACCCACACUGGGACUGAGACACUGCCCAGACUCCUACGGGAGGCUGCAGUCGAGAAUCUUCCGCAAUGCGCGAAAGCGUGACGGAGCGAUGCCGCGUGCCGGAUGAAGGCCUUCGGGUCGUAAACGGCUGUCACCCGGAACGAAUAUUGACGGUACCGGGAGAGGAAGCCACGGCUAACUACGUGCCAGCAGCCGCGGUAAUACGUAGGUGGCUAGCGUUAUUCGGAUUUAUUGGGCGUAAAGGGUUCGUAGGGGGCCGAGUAAGUCUGAUGUGAAAUCCAACGGCUCAACCGUUGAACUGCAUUGGAUACUGCCCGGCUAGAGUACUGGAGAGGUAAGCAGAAUUCCUGGUGUAGCGGUGGAAUGCGUAGAUAUCAGGAGGAAUACCGACGGCGAAGGCAGCUUACUGGACAGUUGCUGACCCUCAUGAACGAAAGCUAGGGGAGCAAACAGGAUUAGAUACCCUGGUAGUCCUAGCUGUAAACGUUGUUCACUAGAUGUAGGCGGAUUGGUCCCGUCUGUGUCCAAGCUAACGUGAUAAGUGAACCGCCUGGGGAGUACGGCCGCAAGGCUAAAACUCAAAGGAAUUGACGGGGGCCCGCACAAGCGGUGGAGCAUGUGGCUUAAUUCGAGGCAACGCGAAGAACCUUACCUGGGUUUGACAUAUAUCUGACCGCCAUGGAAACAUGGUUUCUCUUCGGAGCGGAUAUACAGAUGCUGCAUGGCUGUCGUCAGCUCGUG